GACGAACGCUGGCGGCGUGCUUAACACAUGCAAGUCGAACGAUGAAGCCGGAGCUUGCUCUGGUGAAUUAGUGGCGAACGGGUGAGUAACACGUGAGUAACCUGCCCUUGACUCUGGGAUAACUGCUAGAAAUGGUAGCUAAUACCGGAUACGACCCUCGGAGGCAUCUCCAGGGGGUGGAAAGAAUUUCGGUCAAGGAUGGACUCGCGGCCUAUCAGCUAGUUGGUGAGGUAAAGGCUCACCAAGGCGACGACGGGUAGCCGGCCUGAGAGGGCGACCGGCCACACUGGGACUGAGACACGGCCCAGACUCCUACGGGAGGCAGCAGUGGGGAAUAUUGGACAAUGGGCGAAAGCCUGAUCCAGCAAUGCCGCGUGAGUGAUGAAGGCCUUAGGGUUGUAAAGCUCUUUUACCCGAGAUGAUAACGACAGUAUCGGGAGAAUAAGCUCCGGCUAACUCCGUG
This 463-nucleotide ribosomal RNA is filed under the name uncultured bacterium. RNAcentral describes it as "bacterial SSU rRNA". It matches the Rfam family "Bacterial small subunit ribosomal RNA", at positions 28 to 507 of the family's 1533-position model. The record is from RNAcentral.